Molecule: small nuclear RNA, 24 nt
Filed under: Arabidopsis thaliana (thale cress)
Lineage: Eukaryota; Viridiplantae; Streptophyta; Magnoliopsida; Brassicales; Brassicaceae
Description: snRNA_11417
Source: RNAcentral
GCGGAGCGGCCGUCGGUGCAGAUC